This 596-nucleotide long non-coding RNA is filed under the name Capsella rubella. Its description in RNAcentral is "long non-coding RNA (CRUB_LNC000684)". Lineage: Eukaryota; Viridiplantae; Streptophyta; Magnoliopsida; Brassicales; Brassicaceae. The record is from RNAcentral.
UGAGUUCAUUGUGAUUCCAACAUCGAUUCUGAAGUCAAGGCACUCGAUUGCUGUUUGAUUUUGAGCUUGUCAAUGACAAGUUGUCAUCAUCGAUUUCGAAGUGGGUUUCUCUUUGAUUAAGGUGUUUACUCUUUGUUGCGAAGCCAAAGAUCUUUGUCUCAAUUCCGCCAAUGUUGUUUAAGAAUUGAGCUUGACAUCGUCGAUUUCCAAAGUGGGUUUAGAUUGUGAACACAGAACACUCGAUUCUUCUAUGGUACAAUGAUUAUGUUCGUGUCUAUGAUUCUAAUAAUUUCAGAUGUUAUACUGGUUUUGGAGUUCUCUAGUAUUACUGGUUUUGGAGUUCUUCAAACGUGUAUCACAUCAUGUGAUACUAAGUGCUUUUGAAUGCUUUGUUCUCAACGUGUCUUGAAAAGCUAAGCUAAAUGAAUUUCUCAAAAAUAUGUUUUGCUCUUGUUCUUUUGUUGAUUUUGCAAUGGUUUGUUUCACUUGUUCUUUCUCCUCAGGGUGAGUUGAGCUGCAGUUACUCUCUUUAAACUGUGUUUUACGGAUUGACAUAUAAGCUUCUUCUUCUUCUUCUGGCAGAAGCUUUAAAUUGG